This is a long non-coding RNA of Salvelinus sp. IW2-2015, 697 nucleotides long. RefSeq lists it as uncharacterized. NCBI's taxonomy places the organism in Eukaryota, Metazoa, Chordata, Actinopteri, Salmoniformes, Salmonidae. The record is from RefSeq and is a predicted model, not a curated record. The transcript has 5 exons.
AAUCAAUAGUCCUGAGAAUGACUGCACGUGUAAGGAUUGUGAUAUUCCUCACCUUUUUAUAUGUUCCUGUAGAAACUCCAUCAGUCAAUGAAGAAUUCACCAUUACUUGUGAAAGUCCCAAAGAAGUCAUAUGCCAAAAGGAAUGUGGUUGGACUAAAGCCUUUUCAGRAGUCAAGGCUAAAUGUACAAAGCAAGCAAAAGGCAAAGAAUUUCAGUGCCUAGAGGUAGACAGCUCCACCAACAACAUUGCAUUAUGUUCCUCAAAUAAAGAGUGUGGAUUCAAUGAUAUGUUUGAAGGGCAAGAUUAUGUGAGAUGCAAUAUUCUGAAUAAUGUGGUAUCUGGAGAGGGCGGAAAAACUAAACAAAUUCACGAAAUACAAAACCAUUCGGAACAAAUCAAAUUUCACAUAUUGAUCAUGGCCAUACCAGUAUUAGGCCUAUUCAUUGUAUGAUUGGUGUGCUGCUAUACCAGAAGAUGGAAAGAUUGACAUCCUCAAACAUCUAAGGAUUAUUCACUAGUAACUUAAUAGAACCAAAUGGAAGCAUGGAAACCAUGGCAGGCAGCAGAAAACAUAUUGUCUGGGACGACAAGCCUUUCCGUUGUAUGUGACGACUGAAAGAAGGAAAAAAUCCCACUUAACAUGCAGAAGAUGACACAACAAUAAGAUACAACCUUUUAAUAAAUUCAGAAUUUGGA